UUAGAUUCGGAUGCGCAGAGUAGAUGGAUCCGACCCGAUAACACCCUCCAAAAGUACCGGCAAAUGUGUGGAGGGGAAACAAGAGGUUGAUGAUGGAAGGCACCACUUAAACUGGGGCAUUUCAACAAACAGCUGAUGUCCGUCUCCGAUAUGUCGCUCCUUCCCAUCGCUUUGCGUGACCCACCAUGGGGAGAUGGGAGAUGGUCACACUGCGUACUCCUGAUCUUCUUCCUUCAACCUGGUGUCCUAACGAAACCAGGAGAGGGGAUGGGGCCUUGUCCUCCUGCUGUGUCGGAUCGGGCACAACCACAGUGAUCGGGUUCGGUGUCGGGAACCAUCCAACCCCACCUUGAGCUCAGCAGAUGAUCAAGACAAAGCAAAAUCUCCAUCCGAGGAACCUUGCUCUUUCUGGGUAGUAGAUUUAACGCGAAGCAACAUGGAUAGUGGCUCAACUGGCAAAGAGAUUACUAUGGAAUGAUGGAGAAAGAGGAUAAUAGUCUUAAAUCUUUCAAUAGGACUAUUCAUCUUUACCAAAAUAUACAUAGAUUUUCUGAAAUGACAAUCUUAUUUUCGUUCUAAAA
Long non-coding RNA from Musa acuminata subsp. malaccensis (wild Malaysian banana), 581 nucleotides. RefSeq lists it as uncharacterized. The record is from RefSeq and is a predicted model, not a curated record. Lineage: Eukaryota; Viridiplantae; Streptophyta; Magnoliopsida; Zingiberales; Musaceae.